This 89-nucleotide transfer RNA is filed under the name Jakoba bahamiensis. RNAcentral's name for it is "tRNA-Ser". It matches the Rfam family "tRNA". From Rfam's summary of the family: Transfer RNA (tRNA) molecules are approximately 80 nucleotides in length. Their secondary structure includes four short double-helical elements and three loops (D, anti-codon, and T loops). The record is from RNAcentral. Lineage: Eukaryota; Jakobea; Jakobida; Jakobidae.
GGAGAAGUGACCGAGUGGUUUAAGGUGUCAGAUUGCUAAUCUGGAGUGUCUAUAUCUAGGCACCAUGGGUUCAAAUCCCAUCUUCUCCA